GUGAGGCGCCUGGUGCGGCUCUCUAGCGGCGUCCUCUAGCGGCGCUUGGUGGAGCCUUCCUGAAAGCCCGACCUCGGAGCCUAAGCGUCCCCUAGUAACCUUCGCAAAAAGGAAGAGAGGGGUUCCCCUUUUGGCCCUGGACCAGUGACUUUGCUGUUUCUUCCUUGGAGAGACCUGGCUUUGGGCGAUGGGGGGAUAAGGGGAUUAGAGCAGUGGCUCUCGUAGGGUGGUCUGAGGGGCCCUGUGGGUCCGAAGAUCCUUUCAAAACUAGUUUCAUAGUAAUGGUAGGAUUUCGUUUCCCCUUCUUACUCUCGCUGAAAUUUUCCAGAGAACUGAUGUGUGAUGACGUCAUCGCUCUCAUGACUAAAGGAAUGUGUGCUUGUAUUGUGUUUUCUAGAAUUUCCUAAGCUUUCCGAAUGUUCCACAUUUGUUGAAAACUACAAACAAACAUAUCCAAGAAUCCCAGUGAAUGCCAAGCAGCAUAAACACAAAGAAAACCACAUCAAGGCACUGCAGAAUCAAAUUUCUCAAAACUAGUGAUACAGAGAAAAUCUUAAGUUAAGACUAAUCACUGGUUUCUCAUCAAAAACAAUGCAAACCAGAAGAUGGUGGAACAACAUCUUUAAAGCAUUGGAAGAAUGCUUUCAACCCAGAAUUUUAUAUCCAGUGAAAAUGUCAUUCAAAGAUGAAGGCAAAAUAAAGACAUUUCAGAUAAGCUAAAGCCAAGAACAUUCAUCACUAGUGACCUUGUACCACAAGGAAUGCUAAAAGAAGUUCUUCAGGUUAAAGGAAAAGGAUACCAGGUGGACACAAGAAUCUAUGCAAAGGAAUGAAGAGUACCAGAAAUGUUUUCUGACAUCAGAAGUGGGAUCCAAAGAAGACCCUCAACAACUCUGAGGCCAGUGAGCAACCACGUGCUGGUACCCACUGGGCCCAUUGAGCUCACCACUGUCUUGCCAACCUUGCAGUCAGCCUGAAUGCUGCUCUCUUUGCAUGUUGAGCUCUUGGAAUUUAUUGUGCAUACCUGUAUUCUGUUUGUUGAAGC
Balaenoptera musculus (blue whale) is the source of this 1045-nucleotide long non-coding RNA. RefSeq lists it as uncharacterized. NCBI's taxonomy places the organism in Eukaryota, Metazoa, Chordata, Mammalia, Artiodactyla, Balaenopteridae. The transcript is spliced from 3 exons. The record is from RefSeq and is a predicted model, not a curated record.